UACGUAGGGUGCGAGCGUUAAUCGGAAUUACUGGGCGUAAAGCGUGCGCAGGCGGUUUUGUAAGCUAGAUGUGAAAUCCCCGGGCUUAACCUGGGAAUGGCAUUUGGGACUGCAAGGCUUGAGUGCGGCAGAGGAGACUAGAAUUCCUGGUGUAGCAGUGAAAUGCGUAGAUAUCAGGAGGAAUACCGAUGGCGAAGGCAGGUCUCUGGGCUGACACUGACGCUCAUGCACGAAAGCGUGGGGAGCAAACAGG
Molecule: ribosomal RNA, 253 nt
Filed under: uncultured bacterium
Lineage: Bacteria
Description: partial 16S ribosomal RNA
Rfam family: Bacterial small subunit ribosomal RNA
Source: RNAcentral